UACGAGGGGUGCAAGCGUUGCUCGGAAUUAUUGGGCGUAAAGGGUAGGUAGGUGGUCUCAUUUGUCUGGGGUGAAAGCCUUGAGCUUAACUCAAGAAGUGCCCUAGAAACGGUGAGACUGGAGUCUUGGAGAGGGUCGUGGAAUUCCCGGUGUAGCGGUGAAAUGCGUAGAGAUCGGGAGGAACACCAGCGGCGAAGGCGGCGACCUGGACAAGUACUGACACUCAACUACGAAAGCGUGGGUAGCAAACAGG
This 253-nucleotide ribosomal RNA is filed under the name uncultured bacterium. Its description in RNAcentral is "partial 16S ribosomal RNA". It matches the Rfam family "Bacterial small subunit ribosomal RNA", at positions 524 to 776 of the family's 1533-position model. The record is from RNAcentral.